AGUCUGUCGCCGGAAUAGCAUAGACUUUGUGAUUUCUCAUUCAAUUUAUUCGAGACUCGUAUAAAACAAGAUGGGCAAGGAAAAGAUUCACAUCAACAU
Unclassified non-coding RNA from Drosophila navojoa, 99 nucleotides. Lineage: Eukaryota; Metazoa; Arthropoda; Insecta; Diptera; Drosophilidae. The record is from RefSeq and is a predicted model, not a curated record.